CCUACGGGGAGCAGCAGUGAGGAAUAUUGGUCAAUGGACGAGAGUCUGAACCAGCCAAGUAGCGUGAAGGAUGACUGCCCUAUGGGUUGUAAACUUCUUUUAUAUGGGAAUAAAACGUUCCACGUGUGGGAUUUUGUAUGUACCAUAUGAAUACGGAUCGGCUAACUCCGUGCCAGCAGCCGCGGUAAUACGGAGGAUCCGAGCGUUAUCCGGAUUUAUUGGGUUUAAAGGGAGCGUAGGUGGAUUGUUAAGUCAGUUGUGAAAGUUUGCGGCUCAAACGUAAAAUUGCAGUUGAAACUGGCAGUCUUGAGUACAGUAGAGGUUGGCGGAAUUCGUGGUGUAGCGGUGAAAUGCUUAGAUAUCACGAAGAACUCCGAUUGCGAAGGCAGUUCACUGGACUGCAACUGACACUGAGGCUCGAAAGUGUGGGUAUCAAACAGGAUUAGAUACCCGAGUAGUC
This 460-nucleotide ribosomal RNA is filed under the name uncultured bacterium. RNAcentral describes it as "partial 16S ribosomal RNA". It matches the Rfam family "Bacterial small subunit ribosomal RNA", at positions 338 to 795 of the family's 1533-position model. The record is from RNAcentral.